This is a long non-coding RNA of Nematolebias whitei (Rio pearlfish), 166 nucleotides long. RefSeq lists it as uncharacterized. The transcript is spliced from 3 exons. NCBI's taxonomy places the organism in Eukaryota, Metazoa, Chordata, Actinopteri, Cyprinodontiformes, Rivulidae. The record is from RefSeq and is a predicted model, not a curated record.
GCUGAUGGGACGUUUGAACAAACAACCAAACCUGCCUUCACCAGACAGAGCUCCAGGACCAUAUCUUUCAGGAUGAUGAGGAAGAAAGAAGAGGAGAGGGAACCGCUGCAGAGGAGUGCAAGUGUGAAGUUGGCCUCCAAAAAGUUUCAACCUAACACAGUAAGAU